UUCAGGCAUAAGACCGGUUCUCCUACGGAAUUACAGACAAUCUAUUUUGACUAUGUAAUUUUUAGGGUAUUGCUACGUAGUUGGAGUAGGAAAAAAGAGAAUGCUGGUGGCCAAAAGACAAAGAAGGGAAAAGUUUGUGAAAAUAGAACAAAGGAAGAUCGAAGGACCGGAGUGAGGACCUCAGCUUCAAAUUUUUGCUCUGGUGAGACAGAACCGAGGAAAUUACAAACUUCCCCGACAACAUUGUCGUGUGCAGGUGACCACCGAGACUUCACUGCAAAGAAAGCAAAUAGUUUCUUCUGCUGACUUUGAAGAGCAAGCCACCAUGGGUUCUAUAGCUAAAAGAAAAUGGAUUCUACCAAUCACCACGUGACCUUUAAAGAGGACCUCAGGCAUCUGAUGAGACCUCAGCCCUGGCUGCUACCUUGACUACAUCCUUGUGAUGCCCUGAAUAGAGGACCUAGGCAAGCUGUCCCCAGCCUCUGCUCCAUAGAAACUCUGAGAUAAAAAGUUGUUUGAACCACUAUGUUGUGAUUAUUGCUCAGCAAUUGAAAGCUAAUAUGCUAUCUAAUUGGUAUUUCAUGUGUUGGUUUUUAGAACAAUUGAAUUGAAGCACUUUAGAAAAAAAUCUAUAUAUGAUUUAUAUAUUGACUAUAAAAUAGAUUGUGGUAUAUUUCCAGAUGUUUCUAAAUAAAAGCCUAUGAUUAAGCUUA
Molecule: long non-coding RNA, 713 nt
Organism: Bubalus bubalis (water buffalo)
Lineage: Eukaryota; Metazoa; Chordata; Mammalia; Artiodactyla; Bovidae
Exons: 3
Source: RefSeq, a predicted model, not a curated record